AAGGAAUAUUGGACAAUGGAGGCAACUCUGAUCCAGCCAUGCCGCGUGAAGGAAUAAGGCCCUAUGGGUUGUAAACUUCUUUUAGACGGGACAAAACCCCUUUACGUGUAAAGGGUUGAUGGUACUGUCAGAAUAAGCAUCGGCUAACUUCGUGCCAGCAGCCGCGGUAAUACGAAGGAUGCAAGCGUUAUCCGGAAUUAUUGGGUUUAAAGGGUGCGUGGGCGGACUAAUAAGUCAGUGGUGAAAGCCUGCAGCUUAACUGCAGGAUUGCCAUUGAUACUGUUAGUCUUGAGUACAGUUGAGGGCGGCGGAAUGUGUCAUGUAGCGGUGAAAUGCUUAGAUAUGACACAUAACACCGAUUGCGAAGGCAGCUUGCUAAGCUGUAA
This 386-nucleotide ribosomal RNA is filed under the name uncultured bacterium. Its description in RNAcentral is "bacterial SSU rRNA". It matches the Rfam family "Bacterial small subunit ribosomal RNA", at positions 356 to 739 of the family's 1533-position model. The record is from RNAcentral.